UACGUAGGGUGCGAGCGUUAAUCGGAAUUACUGGGCGUAAAGCGUGCGCAGGCGGUUUGUUAAGACAGAUGUGAAAUCCCCGGGCUUAACCUGGGAAUGGCAUUUGAGACUGCAUGGCUAGAGUGUGUCAGAGGGGGGUAGAAUUCCACGUGUAGCAGUGAAAUGCGUAGAGAUGUGGAGGAAUACCGAUGGCGAAGGCAGCCCCCUGGGAUAACACUGACGCUCAUGCACGAAAGCGUGGGGAGCAAACAGG
This 253-nucleotide ribosomal RNA is filed under the name uncultured prokaryote. RNAcentral's name for it is "partial 16S ribosomal RNA". It matches the Rfam family "Bacterial small subunit ribosomal RNA", at positions 524 to 776 of the family's 1533-position model. The record is from RNAcentral.